This 879-nucleotide ribosomal RNA is filed under the name Triticum aestivum (bread wheat). RNAcentral describes it as "partial small subunit ribosomal RNA". Lineage: Eukaryota; Viridiplantae; Streptophyta; Magnoliopsida; Poales; Poaceae. The record is from RNAcentral.
AUGCAGUUUACGCACUGCAUACCCGGUAUUAUCCCGCCCCGUGCCGCUGUCACUGGGAGCACAUUGCAGAUCUACUCCUUCAAAAUUGUUGAACUAAGUGAUGACCUCAAAUGGCCACUCAGGGUGUAUGGUGUGGUCGCUGCCCGAGACACCGUGGACCGCAACCGCAACCUUCUCUUCGCUCGGUCAAGGAUUAUGUGCCAAGUACUCACUGAAAAUGACUCUUCUUCGUGCUUGACUGGCCCGUCUCGUGCUAUUCUAGCCAUAGACCCAGUCGACUUUGAAGUCGAACUAAAAAUACAUGAUGGAGGUGAUGAGCGCAAAGAUAGAGAAUUGAUCUGGGCUAUCAACCAUUACGACAUAGCAUACAACGGUGAGCAGCCAUCUUUAACCUUCCAUAGCCCAUUGUGUAGAGCAGAGUUGAGGCUUGAGCGACUUCCUACAACAGUCCAAGCCACUAUCUUGUCUGUUCAUGUUGUUGGAGGGGGGUCUCUUUUUAAAUCUGGAGGCCAAGUUUUUUGUUCAUCGUCUAGUGCAAAUAGUAGUGCUGCCAGACGUGAGAAGAUUGUGUUGCUUGAUUAUGAUGACACAAAUUCAGCAGCAAAGAAUGAACGACAUCUAGAUGGCUACCUUCCCCUGUCAAGGAAUGUUGUUUCGGUAGAAUUUGGAGGAGGAUUGGAAGUUGUGGUAAAAGUCUAUGGGGGAUCUGGUUGUACAUCCGGUCAUGUUUACUUCCCUUUCCAGUAUUGCAACACAAGCCAGGGUACAUGUUCCGUCUCUGGCUCUGAGGUGGAGAUCGUUGUUGCUUGGUCCCGGCUUGUCGGAGACAAGAUGGAUAUGUUGAUCGAAGGGUAUACUACCCAGCAUAGUUUUAAAUAG